GAUGAACGCUGGCGGCGUGCCUAAUACAUGCAAGUCGAGCGGACCAAAGAGAGCUUGCUCUCUGAGGUUAGCGGCGGACGGGUGAGUAACACGUGGGUAACCUGCCUGUAAGACGGGGAUAACUUCCGGAAACCGAAGCUAAUACCGGAUGAUAAAGAGAAACGCCUGUUUCUUUUUUGUAAGUCGUCCUUUUGCUGACGCCUACAUAUGUGCCCGCGGCGCAUUAGCUAGUUGGUGAGGUAACGGCUCACCAAGGCGACGAUGCGUAGCCGACCUGGGAGGGUGAUCGGCCACACUGGGACUGAGACACGGCCCAGACUCCUACGGGAGGCAGCAGUAGGGAAUCCUCCGCAAUGGACGAAAGUCUGACGGAGCAACGCCGCGUGAGUGACGAAGGUUUUCGGAUCGUAAAACUCUGUUGUGAGGGAAGAACAAGUACCACUUAACUACUGGUACCUUGACGGUACCUCACCAGAAAGCCACGGCUAACUACGUGCCAGCCGCCGCAGUAA
This 512-nucleotide ribosomal RNA is filed under the name uncultured bacterium. RNAcentral describes it as "partial 16S ribosomal RNA". It matches the Rfam family "Bacterial small subunit ribosomal RNA", at positions 28 to 523 of the family's 1533-position model. The record is from RNAcentral.